AGAACAAAGGAAGAAAAGGAAGAACAAAACCCUAGGUGGAAAAAUUCAAGGAAAAAGUGUGAAAAUUCAAGGAAACAAGUGAAAAAAAAGGUAAGAUUUUUCAAUUAAGCUUGAGAUCUCUCUUUCUUAAGCAUUUUUUCUUAUUUUCCAUGGUUGAAUCACAUGAAAUCAUGAUGGGUCUCUUGCUGGCCAAACACUUAGAGAGAGAUUUUGAUGGUUGAUUUGGUUAGAUUUUAAGAUAUUUUAGUGUUUUUAG
RNAcentral lists this long non-coding RNA (256 nucleotides) under Theobroma cacao (cacao). RNAcentral's name for it is "long non-coding RNA (TCAC_LNC002351)". Lineage: Eukaryota; Viridiplantae; Streptophyta; Magnoliopsida; Malvales; Malvaceae. The record is from RNAcentral.